GGUCAGUAAGAGAAUAUGUCUUAGUAAAAAGGAUGGAUGGUGUUCUGUUCCUCAGGAAUACCCCAGAGCCAUAGUGUCAUUUUUGCUGUCUUGGCUUCCAUGCUUGUAAGCAGACUGGGACUUGGUAAGCUCUUGGAAUAACAGGAAGAACACAAGCCUGUCCAUGGUGCACUAAACCCAAUACAAUGGAUUCAUUCUUUGCACUAGAAAUAAGAAGGUACUUAACAUAAUAAAGAAUCAUCUUAGGGGUCAUCCACCUUGCUUUUUGAGACAGUCUGACACUAGCUAGAGUUCACUACUAGGCUGGCCGGCCAGUGAACCCUAGGGAUCUGUCUGUCUGACCUUCCGUAUUACAAGUACACGCUCUACG
Long non-coding RNA from Mastomys coucha (southern multimammate mouse), 370 nucleotides. RefSeq lists it as uncharacterized. The record is from RefSeq and is a predicted model, not a curated record. The transcript is spliced from 3 exons. NCBI's taxonomy places the organism in Eukaryota, Metazoa, Chordata, Mammalia, Rodentia, Muridae.